Molecule: long non-coding RNA, 172 nt
Organism: Octopus bimaculoides (California two-spot octopus)
Lineage: Eukaryota; Metazoa; Mollusca; Cephalopoda; Octopoda; Octopodidae
Source: RefSeq, a predicted model, not a curated record
GAUACUGCCAUGAACACAACAGUUCCUGCUGAAGAUGCAAAGAAUACUACUACAAACGCAACAGUUACUGGUAUGUAUGCAAAAUCUAGUUCCAGCGAUACAGCUUUUAACCCUGAAGCCUCCGAAGUUAGUUUCAGCGAUACAGCUUUUAACCCUGAAGCCGCCAUAAGUA